Long non-coding RNA from Cyanistes caeruleus (blue tit), 1587 nucleotides. RefSeq lists it as uncharacterized. Lineage: Eukaryota; Metazoa; Chordata; Aves; Passeriformes; Paridae. The record is from RefSeq and is a predicted model, not a curated record.
AAUAUUUUUUAGAAAAUCCCAUCAGCUAUUGUCAGUUGGAGACAGUAACAAAGGGAAAGUAAUAAAAAAAAACAUUAAAAAGUCCAAGUUAAAUAACAAGCUGUGAAAAGAGAGCAGACAAACCAAUUUAUAACAUCAAAUGUGACUUGCAAAAACUAGAACUAUGAUUUUGUGUUUUAUUGGAGUGUCACAGUUACUCUGUAACACUGCCUUUGCUGAGCAAGCUGUGAAGAAUUAAACCAAAGCCUUUUGGUCACAAGCAUGGAAAUGAGUGUCAGUUAAGACAGCAUUCUUACUUAGUGUCUUUGUUAAUAUAUUUAGCAUCAUUAGGGGCCUUGGGUUUAAAUUCUUUAGCACAGGUGUCAGAUAUACUGUCAACAGAAUUCCACAGAUUUCUCAUCUCAGGCCACACCUAUUCCUUUCUUUCCUAAAUUCCUGUAGCAUCCUGUUACAAGCUGCUGCUUUUAUAGACAAAAUAUGUUCUAGAACAGCAGUUCUAAAAUAAAAGGUUUGAUUUUUCCCUUCCUGCAGGAUUUCAAACACAUUAUCCAGCCUCUCUAUCCUCUUUGUAGCAGAGAGCUCCAUCUCUAAGGCAGAUUCAAACUUUCCAGUGAGAAGAAACAGUUUAGACAAGCAAGUGGAAUUUGCACAGCGAGACCAACUCCAAAGGGAGCACGUGUCACCACAAGAUGGAGCACAAAAUGCAGAGGACAUUCCCACCUCCCCUGCAGCUCCCUGCUCAACACCCACCCAAUCCCAAGUGCAAACAGCUGGAACCUGCCAGGCCAAACAAUAGUUGGUCUCUACCUGAAGUGUGUGCAAUACCUGAGCCAGGGCAAAUACAGAACAGCAUCUGCUCUUCCCCAUAGAUUCUGAGCACCAGCAGGGCACUGCUUGGGACUGAACUCCAAAAUCUGACUGCCUGCACUCAGGAAUCUCAAAAUUUAGAAAACUAAGAGGUGUUACAGGUUCCAGGAUCUCUUGUGAAUUCCCAAGUGUAAUGACUGAUCCUGUCCCUUCCUUAAAAUCAAAGAAACUACACCACCACUAACAUCAGUUGGGAUGAUUUAGAGGCUAGAUUUCAUAUCACCUCAUGACCAGAAAAAAAGAAGACUGAGAUGGGAAAGAAAAUGCUGAAGGAAUUUGAAGAAUUCAGAGCAUUGCUACAGAAAAAAGCAAUCUGGCACACAGGAUUAAAUGUUUGUGCUCUUGUAACUCCUGAAUCUCAUCAGAGUAAGAAUUUGCUGAGCUGUCCUGUGGAUUAAUUUACUGCAGUAUGAACUUUGAGGAAAUGUAAAGCAGAGGCUGCUGGGUUACUCCAGACACUGCCUGAGCUCCAUGGAAAAGCAGCUCCAUCUGGCUUCCUCCUAACUGCAGGAAGGUCCCAAAUUUAGACUGACACAAACCAGGAGAGAUGGCUGCCACAUCUAGAAGAUUCUUGACUCUAGAAAGUUCUGGGGUGCCUCCUGGGGUGAUAAGACACACUCAAAAAGAAGUUCCUUCUGAAGUAACAAAGGAAUUGUUUACAGCUCUUUAUAACUUUAUUUGCCAAGAUGCAAUUUUAUUUAGAAGUGACAUUUCAUGCAA